Oenococcus kitaharae DSM 17330 is the source of this 74-nucleotide transfer RNA. It matches the Rfam family "tRNA". Rfam says of the family: Transfer RNA (tRNA) molecules are approximately 80 nucleotides in length. Their secondary structure includes four short double-helical elements and three loops (D, anti-codon, and T loops). The record is from Rfam. Lineage: Bacteria; Bacillati; Bacillota; Bacilli; Lactobacillales; Lactobacillaceae.
GGACCUUUAGCUCAGUUGGUUAGAGCAAGCGGCUCAUAACCGCUCGGUCGCUGGUUCGAGUCCAGCAAGGUCCA